GACGAACGCUGGCGGCGUGCCUAAUACAUGCAAGUUGAGCGCUGAAGGUUGGUCCUUGUACCUACUGGAUGAGCAGCGAACGGGUGAGUAACGCGUCGGGAAUCUGCCGUUGAGCGGGGGACAACAACCGCAAACGAAUGCUAAUACCGCAUAAAAACUUUAGACACAAGCUUUAAGUGUGAAAGAUGCAAUUGCAUCACUCGAAGAUGAUCCCGCGUGGUAUUAACUAGUUGGUGAGGUAAAUGCUCAACAAGGCGAUGAUCCAUAGCCGGCCUGAGAGGGUGAUCGGCCGCAUUUGGACGGAGACAAGGACCAAACUCCCACGGGAGGCAGCAGUAGGGGAGCUUCGGAGAUGGACGGAAGUAUGACUGAGGAAGGGCGCGUGAGUGAAGAGGGGUUUCGGAUCGUAAAACUCUGUUGGUAGCGAGGGAAGUUGGUGUGAGUGGAAAGCUCAUGGAUUGACGGUAACUGCACAGAAAGCGACGGCUAACUACGUG
This 497-nucleotide ribosomal RNA is filed under the name uncultured bacterium. RNAcentral's name for it is "partial 16S ribosomal RNA". It matches the Rfam family "Bacterial small subunit ribosomal RNA", at positions 28 to 507 of the family's 1533-position model. The record is from RNAcentral.